AAGGCCCUGCUUGCAGGGUACUCGAGUGGCGAACGGGUGAGUAACACGUGGGUGAUCUGCCCUGCACUUCGGGAUAAGCCUGGGAAACUGGGUCUAAUACCGGAUAGGAGCCAUUUUUAGUGUGAUGGUUGGAAAGUUUUUUCGGUGUAGGAUGAGCUCGCGGCCUAUCAGCUUGUUGGUGGGGUAAUGGCCUACCAAGGCGGCGACGGGUAGCCGGCCUGAGAGGGUGGACGGCCACAUUGGGACUGAGAUACGGCCCAGACUCCUACGGGAGGCAGCAGUGGGGAAUAUUGCACAAUGGGCGCAAGCCUGAUGCAGCGACGCCGCGUGGGGGAUGACGGCCUUCGGGUUGUAAACUCCUUUCGCUAGGGACGAAGCUUUUUGUGACGGUACCUAGAUAAGAAGCACCGGCUAACUACGUGCCAGCAGCCGCGGUAAUACGUAGGGUGCGAGCGUUGUCCGGAAUUACUGGGCGUAAAGGGCUCGUAGGUGGUUUGUCGCGUCGUCUGUGAAAUUCCGGGGCUUAACUCCGGGCGUGCAGGCGAUACGGGCAUAACUUGAGUACUGUAGGGGUAACUGGAAUUCCUGGUGUAGCGGUGAAAUGCGCAGAUAUCAGGAGGAACACCGAUGGCGAAGGCAGGUUACUGGGCAGUUACUGACGCUGAGGAGCGAAAGCAUGGGUAGCGAACAGGAUUAGAUACCCUGGUAGUCCAUGCCGUAAACGGUGGGCGCUAGGUGUGAGGGUCUUUUCACGACUUUCGUGCCGUAGCUAACGCAUUAAGCGCCCCGCCUGGGGAGUACGGCCGCAAGGCUAAAACUCAAAGGAAUUGACGGGGGCCCGCACAAGCGGCGGA
Molecule: ribosomal RNA, 854 nt
Filed under: Corynebacterium tuberculostearicum
Lineage: Bacteria; Bacillati; Actinomycetota; Actinomycetes; Mycobacteriales; Corynebacteriaceae
Description: bacterial SSU rRNA
Rfam family: Bacterial small subunit ribosomal RNA
Source: RNAcentral